Molecule: unclassified non-coding RNA, 22 nt
Filed under: Mus musculus (house mouse)
Lineage: Eukaryota; Metazoa; Chordata; Mammalia; Rodentia; Muridae
Description: oocyte_clustered_small_RNA8941
Source: RNAcentral
UUUUCCUGGGGGAAGGUUACUA